ACUCUGAGACGUGAUACCGAGCCGCUUCAGGCGAAGUCAUUGAUCCUAUGCUGCCUAGAAAAGCCCAGCAGCGAGUUGACAUGGUGCCCGUACCCCAAACCAACACAGGUGGACAGGUAGAGCAUACCAAGGCGAGUGGGAUAACUAUGGUUAAGGAACUCGGCAAAUUGCCUCCGUAACUUCGGGAGAAGGAGGACCCCAGUAGCGUGAUGAGACUUGCUCUCUGAGCGUGAAGGGGUGGCACAAAAUUGAGGGAAGCGACUGUUUACCAAAAACACAGCAGCGUGCUAAGCCGUAAGGCGCUGUAUACGCUGUGACUCCUGCCCGGUGCUGGAAGGUUACGGGGAUGGGUUAGUCCUUCGGGACGAAGCUCUGAACCUAAGCCCCAGUAAACGGCGGCCGUAACUAUAACGGUCCUAAGGUAGCGAAAUUCCUUGUCGGGUAAGUUCCGACCUGCACGAAUGGAGUAACGACUUCCCUACUGUCUCAACCAUAGACCCAGCGAAAUUGAAGUACGAGUAAAGAUGCUCGUUAGCUGCAGAAGGACGGAAAGACCCCGUGGACCUUUACUAUAACUUGAUGUUGUGUUUUGUCAUAUGUUGUGUAGGAUAGGUGGGAGACUUGGAAGCAUGGACGCUAGUCUGUGUGGAGUCAUCGUUGAAAUACCACCCUGCAUAUGGUGAGGCUCUAACCUAGACCCGUUAUCCGGGUUGGGGACAGCGUCAGGCGGGUAGUUUAACUGGGGCGGUUGCCUCCUAAAGAGUAACGGAGGCGCCCAAAGGUUCCCUCAGCCUGGUUGGCAAUCAGGCGUUGAGUGCAAUGGCAAAAGGGAGCUUGACUGCGAGACCUACAAGUCGAGCAGGAGCGAAAGCUGGGCAUAGUGAUCCGGCGGUUGCGUGUGGAAGCGCCGUCGCUCAACGGAUAAAAGGUACCCCGGGGAUAACAGGCUAAUCUUGCCCAAGCGUCCAUAGCGACGGCAAGGUUUGGCACCUCGAUGUCGGCUCAUCGCAUCCUGGGGCUGAAGCAGGUCCCAAGGGUUGGGCUGUUCGCCCAUUAAAGCGGUACGCGAGCUGGGUUCAGAACGUCGUGAGACAGUUCGGUCCCUAUCCUCUGCAGCCGGAGGUGAAUUGAGGAAAGCUGUCCCUAGUACGAGAGGACCGGGACGGACGCAGCUCUCGUGUGCCAGUUGUCCUGCCAAGGGCAUGGCUGGUUAGCGACCUGCGGAAAGGAUAACCGCUGAAAGCAUCUAAGCGGGAAGCCUCUUCCAAGAUGAAUUCACCCACAGGGUUAACCUGGUAAGGCCCGUGGUAGACCACCACGUUGAUAGGCCGGAAGUGUAAGCGUGGCAACACGUUCAGCUGACCGGUACUAAUCGGCCGAGGGCUUGAGUG
This 1391-nucleotide ribosomal RNA is filed under the name metagenome. RNAcentral describes it as "bacterial LSU rRNA". It matches the Rfam family "Bacterial large subunit ribosomal RNA", at positions 1553 to 2925 of the family's 2925-position model. The record is from RNAcentral.